RNAcentral lists this ribosomal RNA (425 nucleotides) under uncultured bacterium. RNAcentral describes it as "partial 16S ribosomal RNA". It matches the Rfam family "Bacterial small subunit ribosomal RNA", at positions 354 to 796 of the family's 1533-position model. The record is from RNAcentral.
GUGAGGAAUUUUCCGCAAUGGGCGAAAGCCUGAUCCAGCCAUGCCGCGUGAACGAUGAAGGCCUUCGGGUUGUAAAGUUCUUUAGCCGAUGAUUAUAAUGACUGUAGUCGGAAAAUAAGCCCCGGCUAACUUCGUGCCAGCAGCCGCGGUAAUACGAAGGGGGCGAGCGUUAUUCGGAAUCACUGGGCGUAAAGCGUGCGUAGGCGGUUUUGUAAGUUAGGAGUGAAAGCCCAGGGCUCAACCUUGGAAUUGCUCUUAAAACUGCAAGGCUCGAAUCUCGGAGAGGAUAGCGGAAUUUCCAGUGUAGCAGUGAAAUGCGUAGAUAUUGGAAGGAACACCAGUGGCGUAAGCGGCUAUCUGGACGAGUAUUGACGCUGAGGCACGAAAGCGUGGGGAUCAAACAGGAUUAGAAACCCUUGUAGUCC